This 546-nucleotide ribosomal RNA is filed under the name uncultured bacterium. RNAcentral describes it as "partial 16S ribosomal RNA". It matches the Rfam family "Bacterial small subunit ribosomal RNA", at positions 355 to 889 of the family's 1533-position model. The record is from RNAcentral.
UGGGGAAUUUUGGACAAUGGGCGAAGGCCUGAUCCAGCAAUGCCGCGUGUGCGGAGAAGGCCUUCGGGUUGUAAAGCACUUUUGUCCGGAAAGAAAUCCUUGGCUCUAAUACAGUCGGGGGAUGACGGUACCGGAAGAAUAAGCACCGGCUAACUACGUGCCAGCAGCCGCGGUAAUACGUAGGGUGCAAGCGUUAAUCGGAAUUACUGGGCGUAAAGCGUGCGCAGGCGGUUUGCUAAGACCGAUGUGAAAUCCCCGGGCUCAACCUGGGAACUGCAUUGGUGACUGGCAGGCUAGAGUAUGGCAGAGGGGGGUAGAAUUCCACGUGUAGCAGUGAAAUGCGUAGAGAUGUGGAGGAAUACCGAUGGCGAAGGCAGCCCCCUGGGCCAAUACUGACGCUCAUGCACGAAAAGCGUGGGGGAGCAAAACAGGAUUAGAUAACCCUGGUAGUCCACGCCCUAAAACGAUGUCAACUAGUUGUUGGGGAUUCAUUUCCUUAGUAACGUAGCUAACGCGUGAAGUUGACCGCCUGGGGAGUACGGUCGC